Long non-coding RNA from Astatotilapia calliptera (eastern happy), 652 nucleotides. The record is from Ensembl. Lineage: Eukaryota; Metazoa; Chordata; Actinopteri; Cichliformes; Cichlidae.
AGGUGGUGGAGGCCAGCAGGUGGAUGAGGGAAGGGGAGGCAAGAGGAGAGACCCGAGGCGGUCGCCGGUCUGAGUGUCAGGUGAACUGAACUUCAGGCCUCCUCCUGCUUCACUGCCAUAAAUCCAUCACCAGAGGGCUCCACUGACCUGCCUGUUGACAUCAGAGCACACCCCUGUGUCAUGUGACCUGGCUGGAGUUGCAAAGCUGGACUCAGACCUGGCCCAGACAGAGAAACAUCUUAUGUUGGAUGCUCUUGCUAUGUGAGGAAAUGUGCAGCAUGUAUCAGUAAUUGAACAACACAAUGUGACAGAUGAUUGUGCAGGUGUCUGCUGUGAAAAUUGUUUUUUUAAUUUCUGUCAGAGAUGUGCUGUAAAAGAAACCAGAAGAAAAACACAGGAAAAAAACACAAGACUAUUAUACUUUGUUUAUUCGUGACUAUUGAAAAUAAUAUUGAAGGAAAAUAACUUUUUCUUUUUAAAAUACAAGCUGACAAAGGACAUAUUUAGUUGUUUCACAUUAUCACAUUUGGUCUCUAUUAUGCAUUUCAGAGUCACUGGGUGAGAGGUGAGGUUGGGACAGGUCACUGGUCUCUCACUGAUUAAAAUACUUUUUUGUUCUCAUAGUUAUCACUGGGGUUUUGAAAAAAAGAGA